CAGUCGCCGCGGGAAUACGUAGGUGGCAAGCGUUGUCCGGAAUUAUUGGGCGUAAAGGGCUCGCAGGCGGUUUCUUAAGUCUGAUGUGAAAGCCCCCGGCUCAACCGGGGAGGGUCAUUGGAAACUGGGAAACUUGAGUGCAGAAGAGGAGAGUGGAAUUCCACGUGUAGCGGUGAAAUGCGUAGAGAUGUGGAGGAACACCAGUGGCGAAGGUGACUCUCUGGUCUGUAACUGACGCUGAGGAGCGAAAGCGUGGGGAGCGAACAGGAUUAGAUACCCCUGUAGUCCCUGUCUCUUAUAC
This 301-nucleotide ribosomal RNA is filed under the name uncultured bacterium. Its description in RNAcentral is "partial 16S ribosomal RNA". It matches the Rfam family "Bacterial small subunit ribosomal RNA", at positions 509 to 807 of the family's 1533-position model. The record is from RNAcentral.